This 840-nucleotide long non-coding RNA is filed under the name Ananas comosus (pineapple). RNAcentral describes it as "long non-coding RNA (ACOM_LNC016700)". Lineage: Eukaryota; Viridiplantae; Streptophyta; Magnoliopsida; Poales; Bromeliaceae. The record is from RNAcentral.
UAUGAAUCUGUGAUUUGCUUUCUUGUAGGCAUUGUAUUAGAAGUGCAUUAGUUGGUUUGUUAUCCUUCCUUAUUGAAAUACAUAUGCCUGAAAUAGACCUAGUGGGCGAAUCGGCGCAGUCGGUGGCCGAACCCACUGGGAACUUCUUCUAGUUCUUAUCCCACUAACCAUGCACGUUCUAGCGCGAGCGGGGCGAUCGGGGCUCGUGGCGUGGUUAUCGUGCUCUAGGUAGUGUACUACCUUUAUGUAUAUAGAGGCACCCUUGUAUAUUUCAUCUAUUAUGUCGAUGAAUGUAAAAUGUAAAAUGUAAAUGUAAUAAAAUCAUGUGAGAGGUGAAAAUGUAUUAAGUUCAUUUGAGAGAUGAAAUUGUAAAUUGAGAUGAAUGAAUGUAAAGAAAUGUAUGAGCUUUGUAUUUGAUUGAAAAUGAUCAAGAUACAAUGUAUAAAAAUGUAAUAGUUAGAUUGCUCUCACUUAUGUUUGGUUGUUGCUUGCCCUCGUGCAAGCCGUGUAUACUUGCAUUCAUUAUGUUUGAAUUGCUAUUGUUAUACAUGUAUUGGUGGAGCCUUGGGUGGACAGGGGAGGUGCUGUCCGUUCGGCGUCUGUCAUGUGCUCGAAUCCGAUCAAAUUGGCGGAGCUCGGGGCGUGACAGCUACUAUGCAAUCCUGCAAUGCAACAUGAAGAGAUGAGAUUAAAUGCAAUCUAAAACAUAGAAAGGAGUCCGAAAGCUUCGGGAUGGCACCCCCCACCUUUAAUCGAUGUAGAGGCUUUGGAUAUUCUUCUCGGCGAGCUUUACGAAAAGGCUUUAGCCUUCCUCGCCCAAAUCAACACUAGCCCGGCCCA